CAAAGAUAUACUAAGGAGCUUUUGCAAGUCAAUGUGCAAAAAGACACUACAAUGAGUGGAGAAUCAACAGUGCUCUCAGAACUUUGCUCUCAGAAAACUUAAGUUACCAGGCACUAAGUGGCUACUCAAAAUGUGGUUUGUGGACCAGAAGCAUCACAUCUCCUGGGAACUAGGAUAAGUCACACUUCAUUUCUCAGCUCUGUUCGACUUUGAAGGUGCUAGAAUAUCUGUUAUCCUGCUUAUUAGAAACAAUCAACUUUUUGACAAGGGAAUAAAUUCAGAAGAGGAAUCCAGCGCUGCUGUGGUGGCUUUAGUCACUAGUGCACACACUUCUUGUAAAUUUCUGCUCUCCCAUCCUUAGCAAUGACAUCCAAAUGCAAAUUUGCCUAAAUCCAGUCCAAAAUGGCAGUUGGAACCUCAAUCUUCACCUCCGUUUUGCAGGUAUCAUGAAGGAGGAAAUGACUGAGGACAAAACACAGGUUCUGGGGUCUAUAUCCUCUUGAGAAAAAAAAUCUUCCUUAAAGUCCUACCUUGCCACUUUUACUUACACCACAUUAGUCAGAAUUAGUCACAUGGCUACUCCAGUCUUCUAGCUGGUUACAUUUCCAGAGAAAGGAGAGGAAAGCUGUUGGUUAAACAGAUAUACCAUAUAUUUCUGUUUGCCUAUUCAGACCCACUUUCUUUUUUUUAUUUUUUAUUAUACUUUAAGUUCUUUAUUAUAUAAUACUUUAUUAUAUUUAAAGUAUAAUAAAGUUUAUUAUACUUUAAGUUUUUAUUAUACUUUAAGUACAUGCGCAGAAUGUGCAGGUUUGUUACAUAGGUAUACACGUGCCAUGGUGGUUUGCUGCACCCAUCAACAUGUCAUCUACAUGAGGUAUUUCUCCUAAUGAUAUCCAUGCCCUAACCCCCC
RNAcentral lists this long non-coding RNA (910 nucleotides) under Homo sapiens (human). RNAcentral's name for it is "HSALNT0264169". Lineage: Eukaryota; Metazoa; Chordata; Mammalia; Primates; Hominidae. The record is from RNAcentral.